Small nuclear RNA from Ursus americanus (American black bear), 107 nucleotides. Lineage: Eukaryota; Metazoa; Chordata; Mammalia; Carnivora; Ursidae. The record is from Ensembl.
GUGCUCACUUUGGCAGCACAUACACUAAAACUGCAAUGAUACACAGAAGAUUAGCAUGGCCCCUGCACAAAGAUGACACACAAAUUCAUGAAGCAUUCCAUAUUUUU